RNAcentral lists this small RNA (29 nucleotides) under Bombyx mori (domestic silkworm). RNAcentral describes it as "ovarian small RNA-10425". Lineage: Eukaryota; Metazoa; Arthropoda; Insecta; Lepidoptera; Bombycidae. The record is from RNAcentral.
AACUAUUCCAGCGUCUUCAAGAAUACGGU